This 428-nucleotide ribosomal RNA is filed under the name uncultured bacterium. RNAcentral's name for it is "bacterial SSU rRNA". It matches the Rfam family "Bacterial small subunit ribosomal RNA", at positions 355 to 775 of the family's 1533-position model. The record is from RNAcentral.
UGGGGAAUAUUGGACAAUGGGCGAAAGCCUGAUCCAGCCAUGCCGCGUGUGUGAAGAAGGUCUUCGGAUUGUAAAGCACUUUAAGUUGGGAGGAAGGGCUGUCGGCUAAUACCCUGCAGUUUUGACGUUACCAACAGAAUAAGCACCGGCUAACUUCGUGCCAGCAGCCGCGGUAAUACGAUGGGUGCAAGCGUUAAUCGGAAUUACUGGGCGUAAAGCGCGCGUAGGUGGUUCAGCAAGUUGGAUGUGAAAGCCCCGGGCUCAACCUGGGAACUGCAUCCAAAACUACUGAGCUAGAGUACGGUAGAGGGUGGUGGAAUUUCCUGUGUAGCGGUGAAAUGCGUAGAUAUAGGAAGGAACACCAGUGGCGAAGGCGACCACCUGGACUGAUACUGACACUGAGGUGCGAAAGCGUGGGGAGCAAACAG